Molecule: long non-coding RNA, 405 nt
Organism: Oryzias melastigma (Indian medaka)
Lineage: Eukaryota; Metazoa; Chordata; Actinopteri; Beloniformes; Adrianichthyidae
Exons: 2
Source: RefSeq, a predicted model, not a curated record
UUGAUAAUGAUAACGCUUAAUUUAACAAAUAUAGAAAAGUAUUUAGGCAAUUAUAAUAAAAUGGGAAUGAAUAAGGUUUUUUUUAAUACAAAAUGUAUAUUGAGCAUCACUAAUGUUCAAUCUUUUUAAGAAAAAAGGCUAAUGUAUUAUUAUUAUUUAAAAUUGCUUAUCUAGAAAUCUGGUUGUGUAAAUCAAUGUAGUCAGUUGUUAUUCAUAAAUUGGCCAGCAGGGGCGGAGUUCCACAGGAUGUACUUUUAUUUCCCAUCAGCCUUUGCGACAGUAUAUAAAAGAGUCCUGAACCGAUUGCUCGUCCUCAUUCUUCGCCUUACUGCGUGCGCUUAUGAGAUCAUAGGUCACGUGUGACUUUAAACUUUGAAGUUAACAUGGAAAUCAAUUAUAUCUGGU